AUCGCUUCUCGGCCUUUUGGCUAAGAUCAAGUGUAGUACAUACGGAUAACCAGUUUUCAAAAAAAAACGCUGUUCUUUUGUUAAUGAGGCUGUCUUUCUCCAACGUAUGUUUUUGGCCCCUUUGUCAAGAAUCAGGCUGUACCUGUGUGGGCUUAUUUUGGUGUCCUCUA
Heterocephalus glaber (naked mole-rat) is the source of this 170-nucleotide small nuclear RNA. Its record names the gene U2. It matches the Rfam family "U2 spliceosomal RNA". From Rfam's summary of the family: U2 is a small nuclear RNA (snRNA) component of the spliceosome (involved in pre-mRNA splicing). Complementary binding between U2 snRNA (in an area lying towards the 5' end but 3' to hairpin I) and the branchpoint sequence (BPS) of the intron results the bulging out of an unpaired adenosine, on the BPS, which initiates a nucleophilic attack at the intronic 5' splice site, thus starting the first of two transesterification reactions that mediate splicing. The record is from Ensembl. Lineage: Eukaryota; Metazoa; Chordata; Mammalia; Rodentia; Bathyergidae.